This 73-nucleotide transfer RNA is filed under the name Candidatus Doolittlea endobia. It matches the Rfam family "tRNA". Rfam says of the family: Transfer RNA (tRNA) molecules are approximately 80 nucleotides in length. Their secondary structure includes four short double-helical elements and three loops (D, anti-codon, and T loops). Lineage: Bacteria; Pseudomonadati; Pseudomonadota; Gammaproteobacteria; Enterobacterales; Enterobacteriaceae. The record is from Rfam by way of RNAcentral.
GGGGCUAUAGCUCAGCUGGGAGAGCGCCUGUUUUGCACACAGGAGGUCAGCGGUUCAAUCCCGCUUAGCUCCA